Molecule: ribosomal RNA, 466 nt
Filed under: uncultured bacterium
Lineage: Bacteria
Description: partial 16S ribosomal RNA
Rfam family: Bacterial small subunit ribosomal RNA
Source: RNAcentral
GAUGAACGCUGGCGGCGUGCUUAACACAUGCAAGUCGAACGAUGAAGCCCAGCUUUCUGCGUGGGUUUGUGUCGCGAGCGUGUGUAUAACACGUGUAAAAUCCCCUUCUGACUGGGGUAAGACCGCGCGAAACGGCGUCAUAUCGGGUAGGAGCGCCCCCCAGACGGCGGCAGCUGCUAGGAUUUAUCGGUUUGGGAUGGACUCGCGGCCUAUCAGCUUGUUGGUGAGGUAAAGGCUCACCAAGGCGCCGACGGGUAGCCGGCCUGAGAGGGUGACCGGCCACACUGGGACUGAGACACGGCCCAGACUCCUACGGGAGGCAGCAGUGGGGAAUAUUGCACAAUGGGCGAAAGCCUGAUGCAGCGACGCCGCGUGAGGGAUGACGGCCUUCGGGUUGUAAACCUCUUUCAGUAGGGAAGAAGCGAAAGUGACGGUACCUGCAGAAGAAGCGCCGGCUAACUACGUG